CCUACGGGAUGCACCAGUGGGGAAUAUUGCACAAUGGGCGCAAGCCUGAUGCAGCCAUGCCGCGUGUAUGAAGAAGGCCUUCGGGUUGUAGAGUACUUGCAGCGGGGAGGAAGGUGUUGUGGUUAAUAACCGCAGCAAUUGACGUUACCCGCAGAAGAAGCACCGGCUAACUCCGUGCCAGCAGCCGCGGUAAUACGGAGGGUGCAAGCGUUAAUCGGAAUUACUGGGCGUAAAGCGCACGCAGGCGGUCUGACAAGUAGGAUGUGAAAUCCCCGGGCUCAACCUGGGAACUGCACUCGAAACUGGCAGGCUAGAGUCUUGUAGAGGGGGGUAGAAUUCCAGGUGUAGCGGUGAAAUGCGUAGAGAUCUGGAGGAAUACCGGUGGCGAAGGCGGCCCUCUGGACAAAGACUGACGCUCAGGUGCGAAAGCGUGGGGAGCAAACAGGAUUAGAUACCCGUGUAGUC
Molecule: ribosomal RNA, 465 nt
Filed under: uncultured bacterium
Lineage: Bacteria
Description: bacterial SSU rRNA
Rfam family: Bacterial small subunit ribosomal RNA
Source: RNAcentral